RNAcentral lists this ribosomal RNA (285 nucleotides) under Bacillus sp. MCR2.56. Its description in RNAcentral is "partial 16S ribosomal RNA". It matches the Rfam family "Bacterial small subunit ribosomal RNA", at positions 48 to 321 of the family's 1533-position model. Lineage: Bacteria; Bacillati; Bacillota; Bacilli; Caryophanales; Bacillaceae. The record is from RNAcentral.
CUAAUAMAUGCAAGUCGAGCGGACAGAUGGGAGCUUGCUCCCUGAUGUUAGCGGCGGACGCGGCCUAGUAACACGUGGGUAACCUGCCUGUAAGACUGGGAUAACUCCKGGAAACCGGGGCUAAUACCGGAUGGUUGUYUGAACCGCAUGGUUCAGACAUAAAAGGUGGCUUCGGCUACCACUUACMGAUGGACCCGCGGCGCAUUAGCUAGUUGGUGAGGUAACGGSUCAGGRRGGSRACGAUGCGUAGCCGACCUGARAGGGUGAUCGGCCACMCUGGGACUG